GAAAUGCGAUAAGUAAUGUGAAUUGCAGAAUUCAGUGAAUCAUCGAAUCUUUGAACGCACAUUGCGCCUAUUAGUAUUCUAGUAGGCAUGCCUGUUCGAGCGUCAUUUCAACCAUCAAGCCCCCGGGCUUGUGUUGGGGACCUGCGGCUGCCCGCAGGCCCUGAAAACCAGUGGCGGGCUCGCUGUCACACCGAGCGUAGUAGCAAUCACCUCGCUCAGGGUGUGCUGCGGGUUCCGGCCGUUAAACAGCCUUACAAAACCCAAGGUUGACCUCGGAUCAGGUAGGAAGACCCGCUGAACUUAAGC
Molecule: unclassified non-coding RNA, 306 nt
Filed under: plant metagenome
Description: partial contains 5.8S ribosomal RNA, internal transcribed spacer 2, and large subunit ribosomal RNA
Rfam family: 5.8S ribosomal RNA (bases 1-105)
Source: RNAcentral